RNAcentral lists this ribosomal RNA (328 nucleotides) under uncultured bacterium. RNAcentral describes it as "bacterial SSU rRNA". It matches the Rfam family "Bacterial small subunit ribosomal RNA", at positions 173 to 507 of the family's 1533-position model. The record is from RNAcentral.
AUUUGAUAAGGCAUCUUAUUAUAUUAAGCUUCGGCACUUGAUGAUGGGUGUGCGGCUGAUUAGAUAGUUGGCGGGGUAACGGCCACCAAGUCUACGAUCAGUAGCUGAUGUGAGAGCAUGAUCAGCCACACGGGCACUGAGACACGGGCCCGACUCCGUACGGGAGGCAGCAGUAAGGAAUAUUGGACAAUGGACGAAAGUCUGAUCCAGCCAUGCCGCGUGAAGGAUUAAGGUCCUCUGGAUUGUAAACUUCUUCUAUAUGGGACGAAAAAAGGGCAUUCUUGUUCACUUGACGGUACCAUAUGAAUAAGCACCGGCUAACUCCGUG